RNAcentral lists this long non-coding RNA (414 nucleotides) under Homo sapiens (human). RNAcentral's name for it is "HSALNT0325563". Lineage: Eukaryota; Metazoa; Chordata; Mammalia; Primates; Hominidae. The record is from RNAcentral.
AUUUUCCAGCUGGUUUUGAGGAAGUGAGCUGCCAUGUACUAGGCCACGUGGCAAGGGCCUGGUUGGGGACCUCCAGGGGUUGAGAGCAUCCUCUGGACAACAUGGAAAAAGAAAAUGAAAAUGGUGACCUCAGCCCUAUAGCUAGAAGGAAUUGAAUCCUGUCAACAACGAUACUCAUCACUCACUGCAGAUGUUACUUUAAGACAUUCUGGAGCAGCGUCAUGUGCAGUCAUGUGAAAGUAUAUUCCAAACCCAGAACCUGAGCACAGAUUGGGACUGAGAAACACUUGUCUAGAUUGUCAGGCAAUCUGUAACAUCAGCAGUGGAUGGAAAGAAGGAGAAAGAUGAGUUUUAUGGACGCUAACCCAUCUAUAUGGCUUUGGAAAAUAAAGUACUGCUGUUUUUUUUUGUAAA